Non-coding RNA from Beta vulgaris subsp. vulgaris (sugar beet), 92 nucleotides. Lineage: Eukaryota; Viridiplantae; Streptophyta; Magnoliopsida; Caryophyllales; Amaranthaceae. The record is from Rfam.
AUUUAUUUAAAAUAAUUUUUCCUAAAAAAAUGGGAUUUAAUGCUUGUGAACCUUGCUUUGUGGUUCCCAAGUUUGGCUUUUAUGUAAUAUUG